GCCAGUAUGGUGUAGUAGUUUGAACAUUGGACUGCGACUCUGAAGUCCAGGGUUCAAGCCCAUGCUCAGCCA
Phrynosoma platyrhinos (Desert horned lizard) is the source of this 72-nucleotide non-coding RNA. The record is from the annotation of a GenBank genome assembly. Lineage: Eukaryota; Metazoa; Chordata; Lepidosauria; Squamata; Phrynosomatidae.